This 451-nucleotide ribosomal RNA is filed under the name uncultured bacterium. Its description in RNAcentral is "partial 16S ribosomal RNA". It matches the Rfam family "Bacterial small subunit ribosomal RNA", at positions 28 to 507 of the family's 1533-position model. The record is from RNAcentral.
GAUGAACGCUGGCGGCGUGCCUAACACAUGCAAGUCGAGCGACAGCGAGGGGUGCUUGCUCCCUGUCGGCGAGCGGCGGACGGCUGAGUAACGCGUGGGAACGUGCCCCAAAGUGAGGAAUUACUGCCCGAAAGGGUAGCUAAUACCGCAUAUUAUCUUCGAAUCACAGGAUUUAUACGCUUUGGACGCGGCUCGCGUCGGAUAAAGUAGUUGGUGAGGUGAUUGGUCACCAAGCCGACGAACCGUAGCUGGUCUGAGAGGAUGACCAGCCAGACUGGAACUGAGACACGGUCGAGACUCCUACGGGAGGCAGCAGUGAGGAAUCUUGCACAACGGGCGAAAGCCUGAUGGAGCAACGCCGCGUGAAGGACGAAGGCCUUCGGGUUGUAAAGUGCUUUUAUAAGUGAGGAAUAUGACGGUAACUUAUGAAUAAGGAUCGGCUAACUACGUG